GAUGAACGCUGGCGGCGUGCCUAAUACAUGCAAGUCGAGCGAAUGGAUUAAGAGCUUGCUCUUAUGAAGUUAGCGGCGGACGGGUGAGUAACACGUGGGUAACCUGCCCAUAAGACUGGGAUAACUCCGGGAAACCGGGGCUAAUACCGGAUAACAUUUUGAACCGCAUGGUUCGAAAUUGAAAGGCGGCUUCGGCUGUCACUUAUGGAUGGACCCGCGUCGCAUUAGCUAGUUGGUGAGGUAACGGCUCACCAAGGCAACGAUGCGUAGCCGACCUGAGAGGGUGAUCGGCCACACUGGACUGAGACACGGCCCAGACUCCUACGGGAGGCAGCAGUAGGGAAUCUUCCGCAAUGGACGAAAGUCUGACGGAGCAACGCCGCGUGAGUGAUGAAGGCUUUCGGGUCGUAAAACUCUGUUGUUAGGGAAGAACAAGUGCUAGUUGAAUAAGCUGGCACCUUGGCGGUACCUAACCCGAAAGCCACGGCUAACUACGUGCCAGCCGCCGCAGUAA
This 514-nucleotide ribosomal RNA is filed under the name uncultured bacterium. RNAcentral describes it as "partial 16S ribosomal RNA". It matches the Rfam family "Bacterial small subunit ribosomal RNA", at positions 28 to 523 of the family's 1533-position model. The record is from RNAcentral.